RNAcentral lists this ribosomal RNA (342 nucleotides) under Leptospira borgpetersenii serovar Ballum. RNAcentral's name for it is "partial 23S ribosomal RNA". It matches the Rfam family "Bacterial large subunit ribosomal RNA", at positions 2253 to 2594 of the family's 2925-position model. Lineage: Bacteria; Pseudomonadati; Spirochaetota; Leptospiria; Leptospirales; Leptospiraceae. The record is from RNAcentral.
AGUGUCAGGCGGGCAGUUUGACUGGGGCGGUCGCCUCCUAAAAGGUAACGGAGGCGCUCAAAGGUUCCCUCAGAAUGGUUGGAAAUCAUUCAUAGAGUGUAAAGGCAUAAGGGAGCUUGACUGCGAGACCUACAAGUCGAGCAGGGUCGAAAGACGGACUUAGUGAUCCGGUGGUUCCGCAUGGAAGGGCCAUCGCUCAACGGAUAAAAGCUACCCCGGGGAUAACAGGCUUAUCUCCCCCAAGAGUUCACAUCGACGGGGAGGUUUGGCACCUCGAUGUCGGCUCAUCGCAUCCUGGGGCUGUAGUCGGUCCCAAGGGUUGGGCUGUUCGCCCAUUAAAGC